GAUGGACCCUCGGUGCAUUAGCUAGUUGGUGAGGUAACGGCUCACCAAGCUUACGAUGCAUAGGGGGACUGAGAGGUUAACCCCUCACAUUGGUACUGAGACACGGACCAUACUCCUACGGGAGGCAAGCAGUGAGGAAUAUUGGUCAAUGGACGCAAGUCUGAACCAGCCAUGCCGCGGGCAGGAAGACGGCUCUAUGAGUUGUAAACUGCUUUUGUACUAGGGUAAACGCUUCUACGUGUAGGAGCCUGAAAGUAUAGUACGAAUAAGGAUCGGCUAACUCCGUGCCAGCAGCCGCGGUAAUACGGAGGAUCCAAGCGUUAUCCGGAUUUAUUGGGUUUAAAGGGUGCGUAGGCGGUUUGAUAAGUUAGAGGUGAAAUACCUGGGGCUCAACUCCGGAACUGCCUCUAAUACUGUUGAACUAGAGAGUAGUUGCGGUAGGCGGAAUGUAUGGUGUAGCGGUGAAAUGC
RNAcentral lists this ribosomal RNA (470 nucleotides) under uncultured Bacteroidales bacterium. RNAcentral's name for it is "bacterial SSU rRNA". It matches the Rfam family "Bacterial small subunit ribosomal RNA", at positions 224 to 689 of the family's 1533-position model. The record is from RNAcentral. Lineage: Bacteria; Pseudomonadati; Bacteroidota; Bacteroidia; Bacteroidales.